CGUACUUGGCGACGAGGCGCGGCGAGUCGCUGAGCAGCAGGCGGAUGUCGGCGGGGUUGAGGCGCUCGCUGCACUCGGGGCAGCAGAUGUUGACGCGGGACUCGGUGAUCUCGAUGCGCAGCCUCGGCCACCGCAGCUUGCUUACAGCUCUGGCGUCACAGUACGAUGACAUCCCAACGUGUCGUUGACACACGCUGGCCCAUGACACUGAUGACAACGUGCCAGCGGCACACACGCGCCCCUUUGACACCGUGGUUCCAUGUCAUGGCAGCUGGUCUCGCCACGGAGUGCCACGAUGUGCCAUCGUGCCACGAACACACAAUGCCUGGUGGCACCUCGGUGCCAUGUCACGUUCACAUGUCAGCACGACCCAGCGUGCAAUGAAACCUCAGCGCCACGCCAUAUCUAUAGAUCAGUGCCAUACACCGCCUGAUGAUGCCUCUGCACCACAUCAGCUCAUCAUAAGUCUUGAUGACACCUUGGUACCACAAAACAGUAACAGCCGAUACCCGGUUGCCACCACAUAUCAAAAAAUUGCAGAUCAACUCUCCAGGGUGUUUCGGCACCAUCUAAUCAAACCGGGAGAGCUCUUGAAAAUGAUGACAGGACCAGCACAUAAUCCCACCACACACAAAAAAGCCAUUUACAAGCAGGAUGAUCCCCAAAAUGACAAAGACCUUUCCUAACCGGAACUUGAGGGCCACACCAAGUUUGCAUAAAAUUAAGUAUAUCACAGUCAUGCUUGUUUUUAACAUCUGCUGGGAUCAAGGUGAGAUAUUGUAUGCUGAGCCCUGUAGCUCUGAAGAAUGCACCUCUUUAUUAGACAUAAGACUGACUGUGAAAUGCACUGGAAAACUCCUUGGACCACCGUUUGGCUACGCCUUUUCUACAUAGUUCUUAGAAAGAAUAAUGAAGUGAUUUGUUCACCCUGUAACUCUUCUCUGAGGCAAAAUGUAGCCUGCGCUCUUUAUCACUCCAGUACAAAACUGGGUGAUGGCUAAAAGAGGACUUCCAUUGCAACCCAUACUCUUACCGCAUUAAUGCAGAAGAUGCAGAGCUACCAUUUACUUUUGAGUAUGGGGGUGUGUUUUGUACCCCUGGGGCUCUGCCAACUUUGUCUCCUGUUACAAGGCUGGUGGCCAAGCAGGAAAGACAUUGCCUCUUGUUGUACUGAGGAACGGAGCAGAAAAAUCUGACAUGUCUAGGAAGUUCAUAUUAAAGCAGCAUGGAAAGGUU
Long non-coding RNA from Chelonia mydas (Green sea turtle), 1236 nucleotides. RefSeq lists it as uncharacterized. NCBI's taxonomy places the organism in Eukaryota, Metazoa, Chordata, Testudines, Cheloniidae. The record is from RefSeq and is a predicted model, not a curated record. The transcript has 2 exons.